This 666-nucleotide long non-coding RNA is filed under the name Sus scrofa (pig). RNAcentral's name for it is "lncRNA (ENSSSCG00070013061.1)". Lineage: Eukaryota; Metazoa; Chordata; Mammalia; Artiodactyla; Suidae. The record is from RNAcentral.
UGGGAGGUGAUUGUCAUGGCCCUUGGAACUGAAGACCCCACUUUUGGACUUAUCAGGCUGCAGCUCUCCGGGGCCCUGGGACCUGCUUCUGUCCCCUUGGUUCUAUGCUGAGCGGUGUGGCCUGUCCUGAGGCCCCAGUGCAGGGCGGGUGAUCUUUAUGGGCUGCGACCAGAUGAGGCCUCACUACGGACCUCCACUCACUGCUGGCUGCCCCCGGCCCAGAGCAACUACCCUCCUAGACUCCAGGCAGGGGCAGCACAGCCCCUAAGGUGCAGGCGGAGUUGGAGUAGAUGAGGAAGGGCAGCGGAGCCCAGGAGGAGGUGCUGAGUCUGGGGCCGGGAUCUGCAGGAAUAUGAACCUCUUUCUCACACCUUCUUAUAAACAGGUCUCGCCUGAGCCAGGGCCCAGAUUCUGGCCUGCUCUUCACGGGUGCAGCAAGACCCCUUUCAAGACCGCAUGACUGUCUUGCCAGGUCAAGUCAAAGGCUAUGUACGGUGUCUUCGAGGGGCAGGCAGCCCUGAGGACUCUUAACUGCCUGCACGGUACUAGCUGUCCCGGUCCGCAGCUGGGAGGGAAAAAGAAAGGAGGAAGCCUCACCCAUCAGGUGGCCGGUACUAAGAGGUGGUGGUUCCCAGGAAGGAGUUACACCAUGGCAAGGGCGUUCAG